This 1443-nucleotide ribosomal RNA is filed under the name uncultured bacterium. RNAcentral describes it as "bacterial SSU rRNA". It matches the Rfam family "Bacterial small subunit ribosomal RNA". The record is from RNAcentral.
GAUGAACGCUAGCGAUAGGCUUAACACAUGCAAGUCGAGGGGCAGCAGGUCUUCGGAUGCUGGCGACCGGCGCACGGGUGAGUAACGCGUAUGCAACCUACCCAUUACAGGGGGAUAGCCCGUUGAAAGACGGAUUAAUACCGCAUAAAACAGGGAUGCCGCAUGGUAUUAUUUGUUAAAGAUUUAUUGGUAAUGGAUGGGCAUGCGUAACAUUAGCUAGUUGGUGAGGUAACGGCUCACCAAGGCAACGAUGUUUAGGGGUUCUGAGAGGAAGGUCCCCCACACUGGUACUGAGACACGGACCAGACUCCUACGGGAGGCAGCAGUGAGGAAUAUUGGUCAAUGGUCGAGAGACUGAACCAGCCAAAUCGCGUGAAGGACGACGGUAUUAUGUAUUGUAAACUUCUUUUAUAUAGGAAUAAAACACAGGACGUGUCCUGUAUUGUAUGUACUAUAUGAAUAAGCAUCGGCUAACUCCGUGCCAGCAGCCGCGGUAAUACGGAGGAUGCGAGCGUUAUCCGGAUUUAUUGGGUUUAAAGGGUGCGUAGGUGGAUUUUUAAGUCAGCGGUGAAAGGUUCCAGCUUAACUGGGACAUUGCCGUUGAAACUGGGAAUCUUGAGUAUGGACGAGGUAGGCGGAAUUCGUAGUGUAGCGGUGAAAUGCAUAGAUAUUACGAAGAACCCCGAUAGCGCAGGCAGCUUACCAGGCCAUAACUGACACUGAAGCACGAAAGUGUGGGUAUCAAACAGGAUUAGAUACCCUGGUAGUCCACACAGUAAACGAUGAAUACUAGCUGUUUGCGAUAUACAGUAAGCGGCACAGCGAAAGCGUUAAGUAUUCCACCUGGGGAGUACGCCGGCAACGGUGAAACUCAAAGGAAUUGACGGGGGCCCGCACAAGCGGAGGAACAUGUGGUUUAAUUCGAUGAUACGCGAGGAACCUUACCCGGGCUCGAACGGCUAAUGAAUUUGGUUGAAAUAUCAAAGCUAGUAAUAGCAUUAGUCGAGGUGCUGCAUGGUUGUCGUCAGCUCGUGCCGUGAGGUGUCGGCUUAAGUGCCAUAACGAGCGCAACCCUUAUCUUUAGUUACCAUCAGGUAGUGCUGGGGACUCUAGAGAGACUGCCACCGUAAGGUGUGAGGAAGGUGGGGAUGACGUCAAAUCAGCACGGCCCUUACGUCCGGGGCUACACACGUGUUACAAUGGGAGGUACAAAGGGCAGCUACAUAGCGAUAUGAUGCAAAUCUCUAAAACCUCUCCCAGUUCGGAUUGGAGUCUGCAACCCGACUCCAUGAAGCUGGAUUCGCUAGUAAUCGCGCAUCAGCCAUGGCGCGGUGAAUACGUUCCCGGGCCUUGUACACACCGCCCGUCAAGCCAUGGGAGCCGAGGGGACCUGAAGUACGUAACCGCAAGGAUCGUCCUAGGGUAAACUUGGUGACUGGGGCU